Molecule: ribosomal RNA, 369 nt
Filed under: uncultured organism
Description: partial 16S ribosomal RNA
Rfam family: Bacterial small subunit ribosomal RNA
Source: RNAcentral
GUAGGUGGCAAGCGUUGUCCGGAAUUAUUGGGCGUAAAGCGCGCGCAGGCGGUUCUUUAAGUCUGAUGUGAAAGCCCACGGCUCAACCGUGGAGGGUCAUUGGAAACUGGAGAACUUGAGUACAGAAGAGGAAAGCGGAAUUCCACGUGUAGCGGUGAAAUGCGUAGAGAUGUGGAGGAACACCAGUGGCGAAGGCGGCUUUCUGGUCUGUAACUGACGCUGAGGCGCGAAAGCGUGGGGGAGCAAACAGGAUUAGAUACCCUGGUAGUCCACGCCGUAAACGAUGAGUGCUAAGUGUUAGGGGGUUUCCGCCCCUUAGUGCUGCAGCUAACGCAUUAAGCACUCCGCCUGGGAGUACGGCGCAGGCUG